GAUGAAGAACGCAGCAAAAUGCGAUACUUGGUGUGAAUUGCAGAAUCCCGUGAACCAUCGAGUUUUUGAACGCAAGUUGCGCCCGAAGCCUUUUGGCCGAGGGCACGUCUGCCUGGGCGUCACGCAUCGCGUCGCCCCCCACAAUUCUCCGUAAAGGGAACGUGUGUUUUGGGGGCGGAUAUUGGUCUCCCGUGCUCAUGGCGUGGUUGGCCGAAAUAGGAGUCCUUUCGAUGGACGCAUGAACUAGUGGUGGUCGUAAAAACCCUCGUCUUUUGUUUCGUGCUGUUAGUCGCAAGGGAAACUCUAAGAAAACCCCAACGUGUCGUCUUUUGACGGCGCUUCGACCGCGACCCCAGGUCAGGCGGGACUACCCGCUGAGUUUAAGCAUAUCAAUAAGCGGAGGA
This 404-nucleotide unclassified non-coding RNA is filed under the name soil metagenome. RNAcentral describes it as "partial contains 5.8S ribosomal RNA, internal transcribed spacer 2, and large subunit ribosomal RNA". The stretch from base 1 to 122 matches the Rfam family "5.8S ribosomal RNA", at positions 35 to 154 of the family's 154-position model. The record is from RNAcentral.